RNAcentral lists this transfer RNA (82 nucleotides) under Psychromonas ingrahamii 37. It matches the Rfam family "tRNA". From Rfam's summary of the family: Transfer RNA (tRNA) molecules are approximately 80 nucleotides in length. The record is from Rfam by way of RNAcentral. Lineage: Bacteria; Pseudomonadati; Pseudomonadota; Gammaproteobacteria; Alteromonadales; Psychromonadaceae.
GCCCGAGUGGUGAAAUUGGUAGACGCGACGGAUUCAAAAUCCGUUUUCGAAAGAAGUGCCGGUUCAAGUCCGGCCUCGGGCA